This 745-nucleotide ribosomal RNA is filed under the name uncultured bacterium. Its description in RNAcentral is "bacterial SSU rRNA". It matches the Rfam family "Bacterial small subunit ribosomal RNA", at positions 33 to 773 of the family's 1533-position model. The record is from RNAcentral.
ACGCUGGCGGCAGGCCUAACACAUGCAAGUCGAGCGGUAGAGAGAAGCUUGCUUCUCUUGAGAGCGGCGGACGGGUGAGUAAUGCCUAGGAAUCUGCCUGGUAGUGGGGGAUAACGUUCGGAAACGGACGCUAAUACCGCAUACGUCCUACAGGAGAAAGCAGGGGACCUUCGGGCCUUGCGCUAUCAGAUGAGCCUAGGUCGGAUUAGCUAGUUGGUGAGGUAAUGGCUCACCAAGGCGACGAUCCGUAACUGGUCUGAGAGGAUGAUCAGUCACACUGGAACUGAGACACGGACCAGACUCCUACGGGAGGCAGCAGUGGGGAAUAUUGGACAAUGGGCGAAAGCCUGAUCCAGCCAUGCCGCGUGUGUGAAGAAGGUCUUCGGAUUGUAAAGCACUUUAAGUUGGGAGGAAGGGCAGUUACCUAAUACGUGAUUGUUUUGACGUUACCGACAGAAUAAGCACCGGCUAACUCUGUGCCAGCAGCCGCGGUAAUACAGAGGGUGCAAGCGUUAAUCGGAAUUACUGGGCGUAAAGCGCGCGUAGGUGGUUUGUUAAGUUGGAUGUGAAAUCCCCGGGCUCAACCUGGGAACUGCAUUCAAAACUGACGGACUAGAGUAUGGUAGAGGGUGGUGGAAUUUCCUGUGUAGCGGUGAAAUGCGUAGAUAUAGGAAGGAACACCAGUGGCGAAGGCGACCACCUGGACUGAUACUGACACUGAGGUGCGAAAGCGUGGGGAGCAAAC